This 798-nucleotide long non-coding RNA is filed under the name Numida meleagris (helmeted guineafowl). RNAcentral's name for it is "lncRNA (ENSNMEG00000022130.1)". The record is from RNAcentral. Lineage: Eukaryota; Metazoa; Chordata; Aves; Galliformes; Numididae.
UUGCGCAGAUCCACCAUCUGUGUAAUCUUUUGGGACAGAAUGUCCUUUGACAUUGUGUGAUUGCUUCAAAAUCCCUGUGGAACAAAGGAUAUACCUCUACUGAGUUUAUAAUGAUUUGCCUUUAGAGGAAGCUUAAUGACACAUUGGAAUGCCCUGCUUCAGCUUCCUUGUUGUGGCCUACCUGACACCUAUAAGCUGAAGAAGUCUUGAACACUCAAGUGCAACACUACUGUUAUCCUGGAGAUACAGAAUAUCCUGUGACCAAAGCCGUCAGACACUCUGCUUGUGUAACUCUUCACUAGUAUGUGCAGCAACUGUUUUCUGGUGCCUUUAUUGCUGGACAUUGUGAGUUUCCACCAACAAGCGCCUGGGUCAGGCUGCAGGUGGAGAGAGAGAGCUGCCUGCUCCAGUUCUGGAGCUCCCGCUUUAAGAACAUCCUGAACUGAAGGUAACAUUUUCUAUUUAAUAGCUCUUAACUUUUCUUCCCUAAUUACUUUUUGAUCUCACUUGGAGUUUUGGCCUCUGUGGUCUCCUGCAGCAGACUAAUGUAGUUUAAAUAUGCUCAGCUUUAAGGCUACAGUUCGAUAAUUUCAUGUGAUUCCCCUUUGUUCUGACAUUAUGUCAGUUGGAAUAAUAUUUCUUCUUCGUGCCACUCAUUAUUUUAUGUAACACUGUCAUAUUCCAGCCUGUGCCCUGUUCUUUUACCACCUUAGCAAUUCCAGUUAAUUUAAUCUCUCAUCAUAUGGAAGUUAUUCCACACUUUAAUCAACUUUUUCACUUUUCUCUAUAUCUGUCCUA